UGGGGAAUAUUGCACAAUGGGCGCAAGCCUGAUGCAGCCAUGCCGCGUGUGUGAAGAAGGCCUUCGGGUUGUAAAGCACUUUCAGCGAGGAGGAAGGUGGUGAGCUUAAUACGCUCAUCAAUUGACGUUACUCGCAGAAGAAGCACCGGCUAACUCCGUGCCAGCAGCCGCGGUAAUACGGAGGGUGCAAGCGUUAAUCGGAAUUACUGGGCGUAAAGCGCACGCAGGCGGUUUGUUAAGUCAGAUGUGAAAUCCCCGGGCUCAACCUGGGAACUGCAUUUGAAAGUGGCAAGCUAGAGUCUCGUAGAGGGGGGUAGAAUUCCAGGUGUAGCGGUGAAAUGCGUAGAGAUCUGGAGGAAUACCGGUGGCGAAGGCGGCCCCCCUGGACGAAGACUGACGCUCAGGUGCGAAAGCGUGGGGCAGCAAACAGGAUUAGAUACCCUGGUAGUCCACGCUGUAAACGAUGUCGAUUUGGAGG
Molecule: ribosomal RNA, 478 nt
Filed under: uncultured bacterium
Lineage: Bacteria
Description: partial 16S ribosomal RNA
Rfam family: Bacterial small subunit ribosomal RNA
Source: RNAcentral